RNAcentral lists this ribosomal RNA (467 nucleotides) under uncultured bacterium. Its description in RNAcentral is "partial 16S ribosomal RNA". It matches the Rfam family "Bacterial small subunit ribosomal RNA", at positions 28 to 507 of the family's 1533-position model. The record is from RNAcentral.
GACGAACGCUGGCGGCGUGCUUAACACAUGCAAGUCGAACGGAAAGGCCUCUUUCGGGGGGUACUCGAGUGGCGAACGGGUGAGUAACACGUGAGUAACCUGCCCUUGACUUUGGGAUAACUUCAGGAAACUGGGGCUAAUACCGGAUAGGAGCUCCUGCUGCAUGGUGGGGGUUGGAAAGUUUCGGCGGUUGGGGAUGGACUCGCGGCUUAUCAGCUUGUUGGUGGGGUAGUGGCUUACCAAGGCUUUGACGGGUAGCCGGCCUGAGAGGGUGACCGGCCACAUUGGGACUGAGAGACGGCCCAGACUCCUACGGGAGGCAGCAGGGGGGAAUAUUGCACAAUGGGUGGAAGCCUGAUGCAGCAACGCCGUGUGCGGGAUGACGGCCUUAGGGUUGUAAACCGCUUUCGCUCAUGACGAAGCUUUGUGUGACGGUAGUGGGUAAAGAAGCACCGGCUAACUACGUG